GAUGAACGCUGGCGGCGUGCCUAAUACAUGCAAGUCGAGCGAACAGACGAGGAGCUUGCUCCUCUGACGUUAGCGGCGGACGUGUGAGUAACACGUGGAUAACCUACCUAUAAGACUGGGAUAACUUCGGGAAACCGGAGCUAAUACCGUAUAAUAUAUUGAACUUCAUGGUUCAAUAGUGAAAGACGGUUUUGCUGUCUCUUAUAGAUGGAUCCGCGCCGCAUUAUCUAGUUGGUAAGGUAACGGCUUACCAAGGCGACGAUGCGUAGCCGACCUGAGAGGGUGAUCGGCCACACUGGAACUGAGACACGGUCCAGACUCCUACGGGAGGCAGCAGUAGGGAAUCUUCCGCAAUGGGCGAAAGCCUGACGGAGCAACGCCGCGUGAGUGAUGAAGGUCUUCGGAUCGUAAACCUCUGUUAUUAGGGAAGAACAAAUGUGUAAGUAACUAUGCACGUCUUGACGGUACCUAAUCAGAAAGCCACGGCUAACUACGUG
Molecule: ribosomal RNA, 497 nt
Filed under: uncultured bacterium
Lineage: Bacteria
Description: partial 16S ribosomal RNA
Rfam family: Bacterial small subunit ribosomal RNA
Source: RNAcentral